AUGUACUGGAGCAGAGCUUCCCUUCAGAGGAAAUACAUGUUUUUAGGUCUCCAGAGGAGCUCCUCUCACUGCCACAGGUGCAGGGGGUCCAGCUCCCCCAGCCUGUCCUUCACCACCUCUUGCACCACAUCUGUCCAUGCAACAACCAGACCCAAUGCGAGGCGAUGCUGCAGAGGGGGAAACACCACAGCUCUCACCCUGCCCGGCCCCACUGCUGCCUGCCUGGUCCUGGGGAUGUGGAUCUGGGGGCUCCACAAGUGUUCGGCACCUGCUGCUCGCCCCAGCUCCCAGCUGCUGCCUGGCCAGCCCUGCUCUCCCGUCGGCUGGGCUGCGGGAAGCAGCCGCUGAAAGGCGAUCUGCCUGACCUGAUGUGGAAGGGAUUUCACUGGUGUUAGGACACUUGAUGACAGGGGGGAGGGAGGAUUGAAAUGAACUCCUUCCAUCUUCCUGAUGGAAAAUGAGUGCAGACACAUUGCUUUAAUAUCUUCUUUGUAAUUCAUUUCCUCCAGUAAAGACUGAAGACUUGAUGCUUUAUGUGUCUCUGGGUUUAUGCCAGCAAACUACUUGCAAGCUCACCCAUCUGGAAUAGGCAGGGGGCAUUAGUCAUUCUGGUCCAGCUCUUUGUUUCCUCUCUGGGAUGGGCAUUAGCCCCGUUCUGAGCACGGAAGGCUGAGCUACUCCUCUGAGAGGUGAUUUAACUGGUCCUUUUCUUGUCAUUAAGAUGUUAUCUUUCUUGUGCUGUGUCCUGAUGUCUCAUCUUUCUCAGGUGACAAAUUACAGGACAUGAGGAAAUGGCCUUGAGUUGCACCAGGGGAGGUUUAGUUCAGAUAUCAGGAAUAAUUUCUUCAUGGAAAGGGUGCUUAGGGCUGCCCAGGAGAGUGGUGGAGCCUACAUCCCUGGAGGUAUUUAAGAGACAUGUGGAUGUGGUGCUUAGGGACAUCAUGCAGCUGUGGACAUGGAUGUGUUAGGUUGAUGGCUGGACUUGAUGAUCUUUAGGGUCUUUUCCAACAUGAGUGAUUCUGUGAUUCCACCUGUCACCAGGAAGGAGCCACAGCUGAGUCCACAAGUGAGAAGGGUUCCUGUAACCCUGUGGUA
Molecule: long non-coding RNA, 1095 nt
Filed under: Anas platyrhynchos platyrhynchos (common mallard)
Lineage: Eukaryota; Metazoa; Chordata; Aves; Anseriformes; Anatidae
Description: lncRNA (ENSAPLG00000027285.1)
Source: RNAcentral